RNAcentral lists this non-coding RNA (200 nucleotides) under Clostridiales bacterium. Its description in RNAcentral is "T-box sequence". It matches the Rfam family "T-box leader". From Rfam's summary of the family: Uncharged tRNA acts as the effector for transcription antitermination of genes in the T-box leader family. T-boxes are found upstream of many aminoacyl-tRNA synthetase genes and some amino acid biosynthetic genes usually in Gram-positive bacteria. Lineage: Bacteria; Bacillati; Bacillota; Clostridia; Eubacteriales. The record is from RNAcentral.
GUAUAGGCGAUGAAAAGACCAGUAAGUUUGAUUAAGUCAUUAGAGAGUGGAAUCCACCGGCUGAAAGAUUCCUUGAUUCAUGAUCAAACUGAAACCUACCUUUGAGCUUGCGAAAACGCACGGUUCGGACCGAUAUCUCCGACGUAAGUGAACAGGAUUUCCUGUUAAUUAGAGUGGUACCGCGACCCUUCGUCUCUAUC